GGCUGUAGCUCAGUGGUAGAGCACUUGUUUUGCGCGUGUGAGGCACUGGGUUCGAUCCUCAACACCA
Molecule: transfer RNA, 67 nt
Filed under: Marmota monax (woodchuck)
Lineage: Eukaryota; Metazoa; Chordata; Mammalia; Rodentia; Sciuridae
Description: tRNA.Ala
Source: RNAcentral